UACGUAGGUGGCAAGCGUUGUCCGGAAUUAUUGGGCGUAAAGCGCGCGCAGGCGGUCCUUUAAGUCUGAUGUGAAAGCCCACGGCUCAACCGUGGAGGGUCAUUGGAAACUGGGGGACUUGAGUGCAGAAGAGGAAAGCGGAAUUCCACGUGUAGCGGACGGAAAUGCGUAGAUAUCUGGAGGAACACCGGUGGCGAAGGCGGCAUCCUGGACCAUUACUGACGCUGAGGAGCGAAAGCCAGGGGAGCAAACGGG
RNAcentral lists this ribosomal RNA (255 nucleotides) under uncultured bacterium. RNAcentral's name for it is "partial 16S ribosomal RNA". It matches the Rfam family "Bacterial small subunit ribosomal RNA", at positions 524 to 776 of the family's 1533-position model. The record is from RNAcentral.